This 292-nucleotide ribosomal RNA is filed under the name uncultured bacterium. RNAcentral describes it as "partial 16S ribosomal RNA". It matches the Rfam family "Bacterial small subunit ribosomal RNA", at positions 505 to 796 of the family's 1533-position model. The record is from RNAcentral.
GUGUCAGCAGCCGCGGUAAUACGUAGGUGGCGAGCGUUAUCCGGAAUUACUGGGCGUAAAGCGCAAGCAGGCGGUCUGUUAAGUUUGACGUAAAAUCUCCUGGCUUAACUGGGAGGGGUCGUUGGAGACUGGCAGACUUGAGGCGAUGAGAGGGGCAUGGAAUUCCCGGUGUAGUGGUGGAAUGCGUAGAGAUCGGGAGGAACACCAGAGGCGAAAGCGGUGCCCUGGCAUUGGCCUGACGCUGAGAUGCGAAAGCGUGGGGAGCGAACGGGAUUAGAAACCCUCGUAGUCC